RNAcentral lists this transfer RNA (91 nucleotides) under Xanthomonas citri pv. aurantifolii. Its description in RNAcentral is "tRNA-Ser". It matches the Rfam family "Proteobacterial sRNA sX4", at positions 15 to 105 of the family's 167-position model. Lineage: Bacteria; Pseudomonadati; Pseudomonadota; Gammaproteobacteria; Lysobacterales; Lysobacteraceae. The record is from RNAcentral.
GGAGAGGUGGCAGAGCGGUUGAAUGUACCUGACUCGAAAUCAGGCAGGCGUUUAUAGCGCCUCGGGGGUUCGAAUCCCCCCUUCUCCGCCA